This 382-nucleotide ribosomal RNA is filed under the name uncultured eukaryote. RNAcentral's name for it is "partial 18S ribosomal RNA". It matches the Rfam family "Eukaryotic small subunit ribosomal RNA", at positions 592 to 976 of the family's 1831-position model. The record is from RNAcentral.
CAAUAGCGUAUAUUAAAGUUGUUGCAGUUAAAAAGCUCGUAGUUGGAUUUGUGGUGUGUCUUGCUGGUCCUUUGGCUUUGCCAUUGUGUCUUGACGAGUCUGCCAUGUUUGGGUGGAAUCUGUGUGGCAUUAGGUUGUCGUGCAGGGGAUGCCCAUCGUUUACUGUGAAAAAAUUAGAGUGUUCAAAGCAGGCUUAUGCCGUUGAAUAUAUUAGCAUGGAAUAAUGAUAUAGGACCUUGGUACUAUUUUGUUGGUUUGCGCACUGAGGUAAUGAUUAAUAGGGACAGUUGGGGGUAUUCGUAUUCCAUUGUCAGAGGUGAAAUUCUUGGAUUUUUGGAAGACGAACUACUGCGAAAGCAUUUACCAAGGAUGUUUNCAUUAA